CAAAUUGUAGCUUGAAAGUUAAGUAAUUCAUUUACAUUGAAAAGGUGCCGUGCAAUUCGGCUUAAUUUGA
RNAcentral lists this transfer RNA (70 nucleotides) under Pleroneura sp. 1 GYN-2021b. Its description in RNAcentral is "tRNA-Val". It matches the Rfam family "tRNA". From Rfam's summary of the family: Transfer RNA (tRNA) molecules are approximately 80 nucleotides in length. Lineage: Eukaryota; Metazoa; Arthropoda; Insecta; Hymenoptera; Xyelidae. The record is from RNAcentral.